Molecule: ribosomal RNA, 436 nt
Filed under: uncultured bacterium
Lineage: Bacteria
Description: partial 16S ribosomal RNA
Rfam family: Bacterial small subunit ribosomal RNA
Source: RNAcentral
AACGAACGCUGGCGGCAGGCCUAACACAUGCAAGUCGAGCGGACAUCUUCGGAUGUUAGCGGCGGACGGGUGAGUAACGCGUGGGAACGUGCCCUUUGCUUCGGAAUAGCCUCGGGAAACUGGGAGUAAUACCGGAUGUACCCUUUGGGGGAAAGAUUUAUCGGCAAAGGAUCGGCCCGCGUUGGAUUAGGUAGUUGGUGGGGUAAUGGCCUACCAAGCCGACGAUCCAUAGCUGGUUUGAGAGGAUGAUCAGCCACACUGGGACUGAGACACGGCCCAGACUCCUACGGGAGGCAGCAGUGGGGAAUCUUAGACAAUGGGGGAAACCCUGAUCUAGCCAUGCCGCGUGAGCGAUGAAGGCCUUAGGGUUGUAAAGCUCUUUCACCGGGGAAGAUAAUGACGGUACCCGGAGAAGAAGCCCCGGCUAACUCCGUGC